RNA transcript from Mus musculus (house mouse), 495 nucleotides. It is a transcript of the gene named predicted gene 4541, with no coding region annotated. The transcript is spliced from 3 exons. The record is from RefSeq and is marked validated. NCBI's taxonomy places the organism in Eukaryota, Metazoa, Chordata, Mammalia, Rodentia, Muridae.
CAAAAAUUACUACUAGACUGAAUCCUCUAACGCUUGCUCUGGCUGGAUCCACAGACAAUCCUGCUGACUUUAUCUGUCUUCUUCCUACUUCGAAAUCCCAUCUGUUUCUUACUCCUGGUAUUCACCUCUCUGAAGACGCAUCUCUCUUCCUUAAGACACGAUGGCAUCAUUUUUUUCUGAUUUUGGCCUUAUGUGGUACUUGGAAGAGCUAAACAAGAAAGAAUUCAUGAAAUUUAAGGAAUUACUCCAACAGGAGAUUUUGCAGUUGGGGCUGAAACAGAUUUCUUGGACCGAAGUGAAGAAGGCAUCUCGUGAAGACCUUGCCAACUUACUGUUGAAACAUUAUGAGGAGAAGAAAGCCUGGGAUAUGACCUUCAAAAUCUUCCAGAAGAUGAAUAGGCAGGAUCUCAUGGAGAGGGCAGGAAGAGAGAUUGCUGGACACUCAAAGUUAUAUCAAGUUCAUUUGAAGAAGAAGCUGACCCAUGAUUAUGCCAG